Molecule: non-coding RNA, 3319 nt
Organism: Macaca mulatta (Rhesus monkey)
Lineage: Eukaryota; Metazoa; Chordata; Mammalia; Primates; Cercopithecidae
Source: RefSeq, a predicted model, not a curated record
GUUUGCCUUUCAUUUUAAUGCCAAAUUUUCUAAGUGUAAGAAAGGAGGGUGGAGAGUGGGCAGAAGUCAUUGUUUCCAUCAUGAAAGUCAACAUCAGUAUUUCCUGUCCUGGGGACAAACCAGUGCCUCAUGUUUCUGGAAACGCUGCAGCAUUUGACUUCAAUUUUAAGCUGGAUAACGCCAAAGCUUUUCCUCAAAUUCGCCACUGGAGUAAGCUCAUAGAUGCUCUGAUUUUGUUUAUCGUUGCUCCUCCUUAAUAUCUCUUGCACAGGUGCCGUUGACCUUUAGAUGGGCUGUACAGUGUGGGGUUUGGUGCCAGGGAUCUGCUUCUUCGGGGACCAGGAUCUUGAGAUCUUCAGGCUGGGUUUCCAUGGAGGCAUGGAGCUGCUUUUCCUCCUUCAUAACUGUACUCAAAACAGCCCUGUUGCUCUAGAAUGGAGACUUGGGCAACUCCUACUGGCACAGAUUUGUUCACCUCAGGGGAAAUUCAGAUAGAAGCAAGCUGCAGUCAGUUUCACCUGUAAGUCCGUGGGUUCUCAACUGGUAAUGUCCUCUUAUGGAUGUUAGCCCACGAGGUCAAUCCUGUAGCAAUCUAAGGCUUGAGAAGAAUUAAUCUUCUGGAAAAUUCCAAGAAUACAUCUUAGGGAAACUGGCUCUACUUUUAUGACUUGGAUAACACAAGGAUAUGCUUUUCAUGUUGGACUAGAACUCAGAGUAUUGGCCAACGGAUGUGUUUUCUAAAACUAUCCCAGUGAGUUCACCAUACAGAUGAAGAUUCUGAGAUUCAAGACUCAAGACUGAAGAAGAUCAUUAUUUUUAUUAUUUUAGUCUGAUGCGCAAAAUGGUAUCUACUGAAUAGGCAGGUUUUUAAUAGGUAGCUUAUAUAUAUUAGCAAAAAUAAACACUUUGUCUUUUAGAUCUAUUCCAGUUUUUCAGUAGCUGUAGACUUAAGUGCUAACUUUUAGCCCAUAGGAUAAGAAGAAACCAAGUCCUAAAAGUAGGCCAGCAUCAGGAUUCAGGCCUCUGACUUCAAGCCAAGGGUUCAUCAUCUUCUAUCAUGCACGAAUUUUUACAUAGCGCCAGAAGAAACUGCCUGUACUUACUGUUGUAGGUGCUUUGCUGGAUUCAGGAUGCAGACAAGGUCCACGCACUGUGGUUGGAGCCACUUUGUAUGAAUGCUGUGCACUUCCUGCUGUACCUUCAUCACAUCAGGAAGCAACAAUGUCUGGCCUUCUCGCUUUUAAUGUUGUUAAGAUUGUUCAGUCCUGGAGCAGACACAGCCUUGUUUGCAGAGAGCCAACAUUCUAAUUGACGGUGCAUGGUGGGAAACAGUGAAUGGAGGGAAAGAGUGCCAAUGUCAGAGAGCUACAGUGCAGUGAAGAAGAGAAGGCAAGAGGAUGUGAUGCAAAAUCACAGGACUUGGCUUCCAGACCAUUCUGCUUCCAUGAGAACAUUUUAGUUGAGAACCGGAUGGCAUGAAAAAAAGCAAUACAGUGGAAAGAGGAUGGGAUCUGGUGCCUCUCAGACAGGAUUCCACUUGCAAGCCGUGUGACAUGGGGCAGCCCACCCGAUCCUGGACCUCCACAAAUCCCUCUGCGACGUGGAGACAAUCAGAUUUCCCCACAGAGACUCCAUGAAGGGCCCCUGAGCGCACUCUCCGGUUAGCCACUGAUGCAUUCACGAGGAAGAGGAAGAGUUAAAUGCUUCUUUUGAGGAAGCGGUGGUGGCCAAGUGCUGUGGGCACUGUGAGAUCAGAGCUGACAGCCCAGAAUGUGAAUCGCAGGCCUCACCAGGGCCAUCGUGUGUUGCAGGGAGCUCUUCCCAAGUGCUCACUUUUACUAAAUUACAAAAAAUACAUAACAGGAGAGUUUCUUUGUGUUUUAAAAAUCAAUGACCAAUUUUUGUUUUGUUUUGUUUUUAAAAUACAGUGUUUUCAGAGAUAAGAGUAUUAUAUUGGAAAGCUGUUGUGACACAGAAAAUUACAUGAGCUUGUAGUUGAUUAAAACAGUCAAGUUGACCUACAUAUCAUCUCAGUGCACAGCAAGGAAGCAUCUUCAGCUUAGAAAAUUGCUGGCAUGAACACAAACAAAUCUAGUUCUUUGAAACGAGAAUUUUCAGAUUUUGGAUUUGUGGUGAGAAAUAGCUAAGUCCCAGGGCCGGGCACGGUGGCUCGUGCUUGUAAUCCCAGCACUUUGGGAUGCCAAGGCGGGUGGAUCACCUGAGAUCAGGAGUUCGAGACCAGCCUGGCCAACAUGGUGAAACCCUGUCUGUACUAAAAAUACAAACAUUAGCUGGGCGUGGUGGCGAGCACCUGUAAUCCCAGCUACUCGGGAGGCUGAGGCAGAAGAAUUGACUGAACCCGGGAGGUGGAAGUUGCAGUGAGCUGAGAUCAUACCAUUGUACUCCAGCCUGGGCAAGAAGAGCGAAACUCCUUCUCAAAAAAAAAAAAAAAAAAAAAAAAAAGAAAAAAAGAAAGAAAAGAAAAAAGAAAAAACCUGCUGAGUCCUGAAAUACUGAUAAAAUGACCAACUCUGUUCACGUUCAAAACUUGACACUUUCAGUGUCAGGGUGACCAGGAAUCGUGGCUGUAAAGGAAGCCUGAGACUUCUCUGGUUCUAGCAUGAAAGAAUUUUCCAAAACUAUGUAGAUGCUGGGGCCUUAGAAGUUUGACAUUAGUGUAAAUGAAUGUAUUCUCAACAAGAAUAUAGACGAGUUUGCACUGAAUUCAGAAUACUUAACUCCAGACUUACAAGAGAUUAAAUAAUUCUUUAAAAUGGAUUCUCAGGCACUUUAUUUAUGCUACUCAUGAGAGCUACACUGGCAAGGGAGGUCACAGUUUCUGACGUGCCUUUUUUCUAAACUUCUGACUUUGUACACACGCAGAACAUAUAUUUAACUGUUGGGAUCCCAGUUUUCUAUAUUGGGAGAUUUUUCUUUAUAUUUUUUACCUUUCGAUAAAGUAGAUCUUUAGAAAUUAGAAUUCCUGAGGUUCUAGUACUGUCAAAUUUGCGUUGUUGGGAAUGCUGAGGUUUAACCUUGACUCCUUCAAAUGAAUGCUGGGUGAACUUGUCUAAACUCCUGUUCCUCUCAUUCAGUUUCUCCCUCUGUGAAGCAGAGGCAAUGGCACUCCCUCCUUUUAAAAUCCUUAAGGUUUGGGAAAGGUUUUCAGAGUAGUCAAAUAAUUUAAUACCCUUAGGUAAAAUGUGCUCUCAAAUUGUAUUUCUAGCCAUGGAAAUGAAGAUUAGUCUCUUCAGUUUUUUUCUUAGUCGGAAUGGCCACUGGGAGAUUCUGCUAAAAUAAAAGAUUUUUUUAAAAAACA